CCCUUAGAUGUUCUGGGCCGCACGCGCGCUACACUGACGGAUUCAAUGAGCUUACAACCUUGGCCGAAAGGUCUGGGUAAUCUCCAAAAUCCGUCGUGAUGGGGAUAGAUUAUUGCAAUUAUUAAUCUUCAACGAGGAAUGCCUAGUAAGCGCAAGUCAUCAGCUUGCGUUGAUUACGUCCCUGCCCUUUGUACACACCGCCCGUCGCUCCUACCGAUUGAAUGGUCCGGUGAAGCGUUUGGACUAUGGUUUUCUGAUGGUCCGCCGUUGGAUUACCGUGGGAAGUUCGUUAAACCUUAUCAUUUAGAGGAAGGAGAAGUCGUAACA
RNAcentral lists this ribosomal RNA (327 nucleotides) under uncultured eukaryote. RNAcentral's name for it is "partial 18S ribosomal RNA". It matches the Rfam family "Eukaryotic small subunit ribosomal RNA", at positions 1470 to 1796 of the family's 1831-position model. The record is from RNAcentral.